Molecule: ribosomal RNA, 301 nt
Filed under: uncultured bacterium
Lineage: Bacteria
Description: partial 16S ribosomal RNA
Rfam family: Bacterial small subunit ribosomal RNA
Source: RNAcentral
CAGCCGCCGCGGUAAUACGAAGGGGGCUAGCGUUGUUCGGAAUUACUGGGCGUAAAGCGCACGUAGGCGGACUUUUAAGUCAGGGGUGAAAUCCCGGGGCUCAACCUCGGAACUGCCUUUGAUACUGGAAGUCUUGAGUGUGGAAGAGGUAAGUGGAAUUGCGAGUGUAGAGGUGAAAUUCGUAGAUAUUCGCAGGAACACCAGUGGCGAAGGCGGCUUACUGGUCCACAACUGACGCUGAGGUGCGAAAGCGUGGGGAGCAAACAGGAUUAGAUACCCCCGUAGUCCCUGUCUCUUAUAC